AGUUUAACUGAAAGAGCCCAACUACUGAAGAAUGUUUUUAAGAAGAACCAUGUGAACUUGUAUCGCUCUGACUCUCUGCAGCAAAACUUGCUUCAUGGCUACGCUUUCUCUCAAGAUGAAAAUGGAAUCGUUUCCCAAUCUGAAGUAAUAAGAGCUUACGACACCACAAAGCAGAGGCCUGACGAAUGGUGAAGGAACGUGGCUUGCGAUUUAGGCCUUAUUAAUUACUUUGGUGAUAUAGACUUCUAGAUCUUUGCUGGGAACUGUGACCAAGGCCCCAUUAUCAAAGAUUUUAAGAUCCAUGAUGGUCCUACUCCAUGAAGUUUGGAUUUGUGUAUUCAGUAGACAUAAGCACUGUGCAACUAUACUGUACCACACCAUCUCUCUAAAAUUUUUAAGGAGGAUUCGCUUAGCCUUUGUAAACAGAUUGAAAUUUACCUUGUAUCUUGCCAGCUUGCUUAUUUUACAACGAAGCUGAAUCAAUACUGGUCAUAUACUUGGAAUGUAAUGGUCAGAUUGCUAAACAUACUUUACAUUGACAGACCAUUAGCAUCUGUUAAGGUUUUUAAGUGAUAAAUAUUUAAAUACAGUUGAUAACAAGCCUUGAUAGCUUGAUUUCAACAAGUGCUGAAAAAAAAUACCUUAAAGGUGUUAAUUUGCCUUUAAGAAAGAUUUUGAAUCAAGAUAUUUAUAGAUGUUUGUGUCAAACUAACCUAAAAAUGUUUGCCAAAGAAGUUCCAUAAAUGUUUUCUCUCUUCAGAAGUAAUUUGAAAGGAAAUUAACUCCAGUCCUGAU
Molecule: non-coding RNA, 795 nt
Organism: Tinamus guttatus (white-throated tinamou)
Lineage: Eukaryota; Metazoa; Chordata; Aves; Tinamiformes; Tinamidae
Source: RefSeq, a predicted model, not a curated record